This 71-nucleotide transfer RNA is filed under the name Loxodonta africana (African savanna elephant). RNAcentral describes it as "tRNA-Arg (TCT) (tRNA-Arg-TCT-11-1)". It matches the Rfam family "tRNA". From Rfam's summary of the family: Transfer RNA (tRNA) molecules are approximately 80 nucleotides in length. Their secondary structure includes four short double-helical elements and three loops (D, anti-codon, and T loops). Lineage: Eukaryota; Metazoa; Chordata; Mammalia; Proboscidea; Elephantidae. The record is from Rfam by way of RNAcentral.
ACAUUGGUGGUUCAGUGGUAGAAUUCUUGCCUUCUAUGCAGGAGACCCGGGUUCGAUUCCUGGCCAAUGCA